This 427-nucleotide ribosomal RNA is filed under the name uncultured bacterium. Its description in RNAcentral is "bacterial SSU rRNA". It matches the Rfam family "Bacterial small subunit ribosomal RNA", at positions 356 to 773 of the family's 1533-position model. The record is from RNAcentral.
GGGGAAUAUUGGACAAUGGGCGAAAGCCUGAUCCAGCCACGCCGCGUGUGUGAUGAAGGCCUUCGGGUCGUAAAGCACUGUGGAGAGGGACGAAUGGAGCAGAGGAAUAAUACCCUUUGCUAGUGACGGUACCUCUUUAGCAAGCACCGGCUAACUCCGUGCCAGCAGCCGCGGUAAUACGGAGGGUGCAAACGUUGCUCGGAAUCAUUGGGCGUAAAGCGCGUGUAGGCGGUAAGCUAAGUCGAGUGUGAAAUCCCUGGGCUUAACCCAGGAAGUGCGCUCGAAACUAGCUAGCUAGAGUACGAGAGAGGGUAGCGGAAUUCCCGGUGUAGAGGUGAAAUUCGUAGAUAUCGGGAGGAACACCAGUGGCGAAGGCGGCUACCUGGAUCGAUACUGACGCUAAGACGCGAAAGCGUGGGGAGCAAAC